Molecule: long non-coding RNA, 3223 nt
Organism: Bufo gargarizans (Asiatic toad)
Lineage: Eukaryota; Metazoa; Chordata; Amphibia; Anura; Bufonidae
Exons: 2
Source: RefSeq, a predicted model, not a curated record
UAGAAUUUUUUCUACAUUAUAAUGCAGAUGGAUCCGUUCUGAACGGAUUCCAUCAUCUGCAUUAUAUGAGCGGAUCCGCCUGGGCGGAUCCACUCUGAAUGCAAGUGUGAAAGUAGCCUUAAUUUUAAAGAAAGUGGUUUGGGUAAUAGACACUAGGGAGUUAAUAUUUUAGCUUGAGAGGACCUGUCUGCUUCCCUGACAUGUAUGUAUGUACUGAGCCACGUAGAGACACAUCUUAUUUUCAAUUCGAAAAGUAAAACAAGGUGUUAAUUUAGUCAUAUCUUCCCAGGAGGAAGAACAGAGAAGUGACACAAUGAAGAGUUCGAAUAAAAGGUCCUCUGGGAUUAUAAUUUAAUAGGAAUCUAUUUACUAAACACAGACAUAUCAGGAGAGCAGACAGGUCCUCAAUGCGGACCCAAUGCCGGAGCUUCAUGUUAAAAUGUCUCGCUUGAUACACCAUGGCGUCUAUUAAGAUCUGCUAGAAUCAGCAAGCUUGUGAUGGGAUAACACAUAUGACAAGUCUAGUGUGGUAAAAUAGACUACAGGGAUGAAUACUCUGCAAUUUUUUUCUUGUUUCGUGGAAUGCACUUUGUACGAGGGGGAAGAAAGAACCCCGAAGGGAGUUCUACAUGUACGGGUUAUAAAAUGAAAGCUGUGACUUCACUGAUUGCUAGGGGCAAUGCCCUGAUUUCUAUGUAAUGUCCAAUGUAUCAGCACCGUUUCACAAAGCAAAGAGAACGCGGAAGUGUCUGUAUAAUAAGUGUCAUGAUCAAUGCUGUAUAACUAUAUACGUAAUACUAAUAUUGAUGUGCCAUGUAAAAUGUAAUAUACCUUAAUCUUUUUAACUGAAAACUAUAUGCACAUCACGGAAUAUUAUAUAAUGCCCCUUCUUUUCUGCCGCACCAGUAAGCAUCGGUGAUAUGUUAUGCUUGGGCAUCACUCGCUGCAGUGAGGAUGAUUAUGUGAAAUUACCGCGUUCUUCCCUGUGUUCUUGUGUUCUUCCAUAGGACAUGAUCGGGAGACCAUCAGGAUUAAUUUGGAGGCACAGGCCAAAUUCCUUAGUCUAAGAAGGUGUCUAAUAAAAACCUAUACAAUUUUGCAAUGUAUUUUCUGUAACAAUAUAACUGUCACACAGUUUGUUUGUUUUUUGCUUUUUAGGCUCUUUCUGUUCUGUUUUUUUGUUGUGUUCUUAAAGGGGUUUUCCGAUUUUGCAUCAACAUCAUUUAUGAAGGUUCCAUCAUUGUAUACUUCCAAGGGAUACAAAUCUCUCCUUGCACAGCUCACUAAGGUACAACCACGUGGCACAAUAACAAUACAGAUCGAACAGUGCGGGCUCAUUAGUUGAAUGAGCGCCUGGGUCGCAAGUGCCACACAACCGCUCCGUGUGGUCGUGCCCUUAGAAGGCACAGCUCUGAUAGAUAGAUUGUAACUUGCUAACAAGCCGCACGCCUGUAUGAUCAUCACGUGACCAGGUCGUUUUGUCGUUUUUUAUGUGUCUGACAGCAAGCAGAGAACUUUAAACAGAAAAAUUGUGGAAAAGUGUAUAACUUUUCAUUAUACUAGAAAAUAACCUUUUUACCCCUAAAACUGGAACAGCCUUUUUUAUCCAGUCCAUGCAACAGCAAUUUAAAGGACGAUCCUUUCAAUCCUAUUUGCAUGUCCUGAUGCGGAAUAAAUAUUUGUGGCAAUUACCUGUCGUCAGUAUAUCAUUUCCGAUGGACAAUAAAUCCUAUAUGAGGGGCUAUUUUCUAUGGUGAACAUUUACACCUCACUCUGAUUAAUAUGAUACUGUAAUAUAUAUAUAUUUCCAUGUGUGAUCUUUGGGCAGAAAUAUGUACAAAUGGAAAAAAAAAAAAGCAAUCAUUCUCUUUGCACUAUGUUAGUCCAUCACACUUCUAUGGUUCUGUCCCUAUUAACACCUUGAAAUGUAAUUGUGUGGACUUAAUAAGUAUGCAUGAGAAUACGUAGUAUCACUAGUAACUUCUGACAUCACUGGGUCACUUUUUUAAGGUAGACAAUGUGGAGGCAGCCAUUUUUGUCAAACAACACUUGUGUCGCCACCUGAAAAGGGUUGAAUCUCGUCUCCAAUCUCUUUUCCUACUGCCAGAAUGGACUUUUCCCUAAUCUGCGUGCAUGGCAAAAAUCUCUCACACCUAAAACACGAAUCUGGAUAUGAGAUGCAUAACGGAGUCUCAUUACCUGUAGGUGUUGCUGCUAUGGCCUCUUUUAAGACUUAAAAUGUAUCCGUAAUGAACUAUAAUGAAUGUGGAUUUUUAAAGGACUAAUAUAAAGGACUAACAGCUCUCUGCACCUCUUAACCCUCUCACUGCCAGAUCAGCCUGCAGUGCAUUGCCAAAAGAUAUCUCCGUCGCAUGCAGAACCGUGUCUCUGGUCAGGCCCUGGCAUGUAGGGAGUUAAAUAGAAGCUUCCUGAUGGGAGUUACCUCUCCCUGAAGUGUUAUACCUCAGCCCCCUGAACUUUUAUGUAAUGUACGCAUAUACAUGCCUAUAUGUUUAUAUGGAUAUAUAUGUGUGUAUAUACACUGAGCCUGCACAACACUGUCUGUUUUUAUGGCACUGAAGGUCUAAUGUCUUCCCUCAAUGUCUGGUCCAGUAACACUGUGAGCUGGAGUGGUCUGCAGGUUGCUUUUCUUUAUGAUGUACCCAGUAAGGCAGGGAUGUGCUGCCCUGCUCAUUUGUGUACUGGAAUCCUUUUAGUGAUAAAACACAGCAUUUCUGUAAAGGCACAGUUCCUACAGCACUGUGAUGCCAACAGGGUGGCACACCAUAUAGGACUGGUCGCUGUGGCGUAAGGCACUAAGGUGCAUGUCACUCUACGGUACUCAGUAUGGUAUGCUAUUCUGCAUUUUUCAGUAUGACAUACUGCUCUGCAGUGUAAAUCGUAGCCUAAUGCUCUGCAGUAUUUAAAUGUAACUUAGUGCUCUGCAGUCCUGAGUGUAGUAUGAUGUUCUGCGUUGUUCAGUAUGGCAUACUGCUCUGCACUGCUCAUUGUCACAUAAUGCUCUGUGGCGCUUGGUGACAUGUUGCUCUGGAGUUUUUAAAGUGCACAACAUAAGAUACAGCUCUGCAGUGCUCAAUGGGCAGCAUACUGCUCUGCACAGCUGAGUAAAGGAUAUAUGUUGCUCUGCAGACCGCUCAGCUGCUCUCACAGUUCUUUGCCUAUUCCUGUCCUGUGUAAAUGAAUAAAAAUGUUUUUUUUCAUA